ACCUGCCUUAUAGUGGGGGAGUAGCCUUUCGAAAGGAAGAUUAAUACCGCAUAAGAUUGUAGUAUCGCAUGAUAUAGCAAUUAAAGGAGCAAUCCGCUAUAAGAUGGACCCGCGUCGCAUUAGCUAGUUGGUGAGGUAAUGGCUCACCAAGGCGACGAUGCGUAGCCGACCUGAGAGGGUGAUCGGCCACAUUGGGACUGAGACACGGCCCAGACUCCUACGGGAGGCAGCAUG
RNAcentral lists this ribosomal RNA (234 nucleotides) under uncultured bacterium. RNAcentral describes it as "partial 16S ribosomal RNA". It matches the Rfam family "Bacterial small subunit ribosomal RNA", at positions 124 to 353 of the family's 1533-position model. The record is from RNAcentral.